UUCCUGAUGUUUAGUCGGAAUCUGCUUUCUUGUAACUUGAAGCCAUUGGUUCAAUCCUACCUUCCAGAGCAGGAGAAAGCAAGCUCACUCCAUCCUCUCUGUGAGAUACUUGAAGAUGGCUACCAUAUCCCCUCUCAAUCUCCUCUUUUCCAGGCUAAACAUGCCCAGUUCCCUCAACC
Non-coding RNA from Podarcis lilfordi (Lilford's wall lizard), 179 nucleotides. The record is from the annotation of a GenBank genome assembly. NCBI's taxonomy places the organism in Eukaryota, Metazoa, Chordata, Lepidosauria, Squamata, Lacertidae.